RNAcentral lists this ribosomal RNA (253 nucleotides) under uncultured bacterium. Its description in RNAcentral is "partial 16S ribosomal RNA". It matches the Rfam family "Bacterial small subunit ribosomal RNA", at positions 524 to 776 of the family's 1533-position model. The record is from RNAcentral.
UACAGAGGGUGCAAGCGUUAAUCGGAAUUACUGGGCGUAAAGCGAGCGUAGUCGGUUAUUUAAGUCGGAUGUGAAAUCCCCGGGCUCAACCUGGGAAUUGCAUUCGAUACUGGAUAGCUAGAGUUCGGCAGAGGGAAGUGGAAUUUCGGGUGUAGCGGUGAAAUGCGUAGAUAUCCGAAGGAACAUCAGUGGCGAAAGCGACUUCCUGGACCAGAACUGACGAUCAGGCACGAAAGCGUGGGGAGCAAACAGG